GUGGGGAAUUUUGGACAAUGGGCGCAAGCCUGAUCCAGCAAUGCCGCGUGCAGGAAGAAGGCCUUCGGGUUGUAAACUGCUUUUGUACGGAACGAAACGGUCCUGGUUAAUACCUGGGGCUAAUGACGGUACCGUACGAAUAAGCACCGGCUAACUACGUGCCAGCAGCCGCGGUAAUACGUAGGGUGCGAGCGUUAAUCGGAAUUACUGGGCGUAAAGCGUGCGCAGGCGGUGCUGUAAGACAGGCGUGAAAUCCCCGGGCUCAACCUGGGAAUUGCGCUUGUGACUGCAGUGCUGGAGUACGGCAGAGGGGGAUGGAAUUCCGCGUGUAGCAGUGAAAUGCGUAGAUAUGCGGAGGAACACCGAUGGCGAAGGUAGUCCCCUGGGCCUGUACUGACGCUCAUGCACGAAAGCGUGGGGAGCAAACAGGAUUAGAUACCCCGGUAGUCC
This 450-nucleotide ribosomal RNA is filed under the name uncultured bacterium. Its description in RNAcentral is "partial 16S ribosomal RNA". It matches the Rfam family "Bacterial small subunit ribosomal RNA", at positions 354 to 796 of the family's 1533-position model. The record is from RNAcentral.